This 460-nucleotide ribosomal RNA is filed under the name uncultured bacterium. RNAcentral's name for it is "partial 16S ribosomal RNA". It matches the Rfam family "Bacterial small subunit ribosomal RNA", at positions 338 to 795 of the family's 1533-position model. The record is from RNAcentral.
CCUACGGGAGGCAGCAGUGAGGAAUAUUGGGCAAUGGACGCAAGUCUGAACCAGCAACGCCGCGUGCAGGAAGAAGGCUCUAUGAGUUGAAAACUGUUUUUGUACGAGGGUAAAACCCGAUACGUGUAUCGGGUUGAAAGUAUGGUACGUAUCAGGAACGGCUAACUCCGUGACAGCAGCCGCGGUAAUACGGAGGAUUCAAGGGUUAUCCGGAUUUAUUGGGUUGAAAGGGAGCGUAGGCGGUUCGAUAAGUUAGAGGUGAAAUCACGGGGCUCAACUCCGGCACUGCCUCUGAUACUGUCGGACUUGAGUGUAGUUGCGGUAAGCGGAAUGUAUGGUGUAGCGGUGAAAUGCGUAGAGAUCAUGCAGAACACCGGUUGCGAAGGCAGCUUACCAGUCUGCGACUGACGUUGAGGCACGAAAGCGUGGGGAGCAAACAGGAUUAGAUACCCCAGUAGUC